CGCGUAGGCGGCUUGAUAAGUUAGAAGUGAAAGUCCUGCUUUCAAGGUGGGAAUUGCUUUUAAUACUGUUGAGCUUGAGUGCAGAAGAGGUAAGCGGAAUUCCAAGUGUAGCGGUGAAAUGCGUAGAGAUUUGGAAGAACACCAGUGGCGAAGGCGGCUUACUGGGCUGUAACUGACGCUGAGGCGCGAAAGCGUGGGAGCGAACA
RNAcentral lists this ribosomal RNA (206 nucleotides) under uncultured bacterium. Its description in RNAcentral is "partial 16S ribosomal RNA". It matches the Rfam family "Bacterial small subunit ribosomal RNA", at positions 568 to 774 of the family's 1533-position model. The record is from RNAcentral.